Long non-coding RNA from Prinia subflava (tawny-flanked prinia), 4746 nucleotides. RefSeq lists it as uncharacterized. Lineage: Eukaryota; Metazoa; Chordata; Aves; Passeriformes; Cisticolidae. The record is from RefSeq and is a predicted model, not a curated record. The transcript has 4 exons.
AGUUGGUCUGUAAAAAAAAACAAAAACACCAGACAAAAAGAACAGGUAUUUUAAAGACAAGUCCUGAUCAAGAAAAACCCUGCUGUUCUGAGUAACCUUUAGAUAGCCAUGCAGUCUAAGAAUUGGGAUGAAAUCAAGCAAGGCUAACCAAAUGUAUGAAAUCUGUGUAUAGGGUAUAUUAAGAACCCUUCUUGUUCUCAGGAUGGCAUUUUUCUUGCUUUAGGGAGCUUGGAAAUGUGGAAAUAACAUGUCUUAGAUCAGACAGACUUACUGAUCUACUUUCAAACCAUGUUCCACCUUUUAGUCCAGUAACGAGGGCAAAUGCUUAUCAGGUGUUUUGUGGCUCUUUUUUUUCUUCUGCAGAUGUGUAUUAAAAAAAAAAUCCAACUAUUAUCUUACAAGGGGAAAAAAAAGGAGACGAGUGGAAGCUUACAACUCCCAUUCCUUUUUUUGUGCUCUGCAACAGUUCAGAACUAUUCAACCAACAAGAAAGGGAGUUCCAGCAGCCAUAAACAUCUCUUUUCUGAAAGGGGAUUACACAGAAGAAAACAGACUGAAACCAUUGAGUCUACAGUGCUGCUACUGCCCCUGUGCACCUUGUUUUUCAUGGAAGACUUUAAAUGUUGGUAGAGAUGGAAGGUUUCUGCACAUCCAUGAGGAAAAGGGAUAAGAUGGAGGCAAACAGAUGCAACCAGAAUGUAGAAAGAGUGGAUUCACUGGUAGCACAGAGGUUUUGAAGAUAAAUGAAGAUUCUAUUCAUUCAGAGGGGGACAUCACGGAGAAGAAAGUCCCAGAAUGUAAUGUUGCAAGAAGAGCUAAAAUUCAGGCUACGUUACAGAAUGGCCUUGUAAUUCUGAAGCAACUGAUGUAGCUGUUUUCCUGCCACUACAGAGAUAUCCUUGUGCACAUUCCCAUCCUAAUUCUGGCCACUCCCAAGAGCAACUAUUUAUUAAGGUACUAGACCAAGAAUUCCGGACAGAACAGAACAAGACACAGAGGAGAGAGGCACAAACCUCCAAGCAAAGUGUGAAGAAUGCUUUGGGGAAACGGAAAAGCUUUCUGCCUUUUAAAGUGGUGUCCUCCCAGUCCUAUGUAAUGCCCAGAGCCAGGAGAAUGUCAGAACUCCGUCCACCUGGAUGACCAGAGCUGCCUAUUGCUUUAUGUACUGCUCAACCCUAAAAUGGGAAUGUCAAUACGCAUUCAGGAAACUGAAUCAUCUGCUCGAAACAGUUGAGCAGUUGUUAAGAAAUGUGGCAAGGAAAUAAAAGACAAUCACAUCCUCCAGUUGAGAACCAUUGCAUGUAAUCAAUCAUACACCAUUCGAAUGUAAGGGAAGGCAAAAAUAAUAAUCAGUACCAAUUUACUGUUAAUGGUAGCAUUAAGGUAACAGUUCAUCACAUUUUUGUAUCCAUUACAUUCCUUGUUAAUGUCUGAUUAAAAAUCUGUUUUUAAAUAUCUCUUCAAACCUUGCAUUCUACCCAAAAUAGCCAUUUGUAAACAAAAUUUAUGCUCUAAUCAUGUGAAUUAUUUUUUAAUGCAAUAAUAUCUAUAAAUAGCUAUGCGUGGAUCAAGCAUAAUUAUGUCACUGGCUUAAGUAAGGCUUUGCAUCUUUGCCUUUAGAACUCAAACUAAAAAAUGCACAACUUUCUAACUAUCAUUCCUUCUGGAUACUCAUGAAGUAUUAACUUUAUAGAAGUCACACAGAAUGUAAAGCUUAAAACACUGUACACAGUUUUGUGAAGGUCACUGCCUCUAACAUUAAGGCAUAGAGCCCAUCAGAGUGAUACUAGUAUGGGCAUGAGAAAGCAACUAAUCACAUUUAAGUGUCAUGAAAAAAUGUUUUAUGUUUUAUUGUAGCAGCUAUUGGUUUUAUACCCCACCACUAAAGUUUUGCCCUGGAGCAAAAAUUCUUGAGGUGGAAGUACACUUACAUCUUUAAAUAAAAAGAAACUAAGAUAGUGUCUGCAGUACUACAACCUCAAGCAUUUAAAAUAAUUUAUCUAAUGUGCAUUUCUUCAAGUCUACUGAAGUCUUGCAGGAGCAAAUGGAAUGAGGAAAUUAAGAAUGUUAUUACUAUAUUUUAGCAAACUUCUCAGUUCUGGACUCUGAGAUACUUACAGAAGUAACUAAGUGACAAAGUUACAAUGAUCUUCUGAAUGCUCCAGCUAAAAAGUGAAAACAUCCUUUUACAUGCCCAAAAGGAUACAGAGAGCUUCAACUGCACGAGCCCAUUCCUACUGACACUUUUUUGCCUAAUUGUCUUCUGACUGAAAUGUCAGAUUUAUAACUAAUUCUUGGAUUCCAGCCUAAACUGGAAGUCACCUAUUUUUUACACAAGCACAUGGCUGAAAUAUUUCUGGACCACAAAAAUCAAGCAAACUUUUCCUUUUCCAGCAAAAGAGCUAGGUGCAUUUCAAGAAUUUCAGAUUCUAAUUCCAGUGAGAUUUUGGCACUAAGCUAUAUGCAGCCAUGGAGAUAUAGAGAUAACAUACACACACACCCCAGCUUCUUGGCAUGCAGAAACUAAAACUACACUGCUAAGGCAUGCCAUAUCCAUGCUAUAAACUAAAAUACAAGAUUCUUUGUUAGCUUUUUGCCCUUCUCAGCUUAAAUCUUACUUCCACAAUCUACUGAUCACUUCCAUAUUUUCAUGAACCAUAUCUGCUGACCCUAAUUUUAUUAGUGACGAUACAAAGUCUUUAUCCCACAGUCCUAGUACACAAGAGCAGACACCCAACUUGAGGGCAGGAAAGGACAAGGGUAGUUGAAAGCCUUUCAUUCACUCAUUCACAGUUUAGUUGUGCACUAAUAUAUGUUUUUGACAAGUAAACAAAACAAGGACAAACAGCCAAAUUAAAAUCUCAGCCUUCAUUAUGAGUACACCUUAAACUCCAAAUUUCAGCAGCUGUAAGAAAAUGCAUAAUACACUCUGCACCUGGCAGUCUCCAGAGAGAGGUCACAAUUCUGACCAUAUUUGGAUAAGGUAGACACAUGAUCCCAAGCCUUGAACCAAAGUCUUCAGUUCUUUGUGUACAAAGCAGAUCAAAGGUAACUGAUUUUACUAUUUCUAUACAGACUGGAUUUUAAAACUAUCAGUUUCACAUUAAGAUUCACAUGUUAUUACCCAUAUCCUAGAAAAUAAACAAAUUCUGCAGUAUGCACUCAGAAUGGCGUGCAGCUCGUGUUCAGCAAUACCAGAGGUACAAAUACCUGUGCAAUACUCUGGAAAUCAAAUCAUUAAAUACCCAUUCACUAUCUGUCCCAUACCUUACAAUUUCUACUCAUUCUCCCUCUUCCAAGAUGUCAGAAUAUGAACCAUUUAUUUCUGAUGAAGCAAGAAGUUUAAAUACACACUGCUACAUAAGAGAUUCAUAAGGUACAAGCUGAAUUCAAGUGCAAGCUCCCAUGCUGCCUUCGAUUAGUUCCAAGGUGCAAACAUGCAGCUAAGGGAGACCAGAGCCCUGCUGGGCAAGAGAGAAGGAGGAAUCACUGCAGAGUUGUCACACGUCUCCGCAAGAGGAGAAAGUGUGUAACAUCUUUAAUGUGUGGCAAUGACUCUUGCCUUAUGAAUGUAGGUGAAGACAUAAUUUGUAGAAUAAUAGGCACUAAUAUUACACGCUGCUUCAGUUCUGUCAUAUUUCCAAUCCAUCAAGUUGAUUAAUGCUAUAAUAACUCCUCACAAACUUAUCAUUUGUGCACUAAUGAAGUCAAAUCCAGUUUAUCCUUCGGCAACUAUAAUCUUCUGGUCUGUAGAUGUUCAUUUCCCUGCUAACCACGGCUACUGUGGUACCCGGUAUAUAAAGAGAAAAUUAACAAAUGUGAUGUCAAUUCAACUUCAGAAGCUUUCAACACAGAACCACAUUUAUGUGUUAGAUCCUACGCAACAGACAUUUUUAUCAUUAGCUGCUCACAGGAUGAAAUAACUGCCUGGAAGCAUGCCUUACAGGAACAGCUUCUCUACAUUUCUUAGAAAUAAGGAACUAUUUCAUUCUUCCUUCUGCCUCCAUAAUCAGAGGAAUUACUAUUGUGUGGUUUUCAAUGGGUCUGUCUCUCAAGCUUGCAGUCUUCAGUAAAAAUUGUUUUCCCACCCUACUGAAACUUUUCCCAUGAUUAACAAAUUCAAAUAUUUAGUCUUUCAUGUGGAUUGUCUGCUGUUCAGGACAAUCAAAUCUCAUACUAUUGUCUUUCCCUACUGCUCCUCUACCACAUUGCUUGUUGAUUAAAACAAUAAUGGCAGUUAUAGGAAACAGCCUAUGGGAAACAAUCCGUGCAGUUGUUCCCCUCCUCCAACACCCCCCCCUUAACAUUGUCUGAAAAGGGCUUGAGUUCAAAAGUAACAGGGAAAUGAGAAUUAAAAGCACAUGGACACAGAAAACAUCACUACAUAAGCCUCGUUAUCCUGGGUGCUGAGAAUUCAGCAGACACAGCACCUCAACAAGUGGGGAAGUCAAACAGCAAUCAAACCUACAGCAAAUCUUCUUUGGUUUUGUGGAUGAGUAAAAAUGCAUGAAAAUUUCACUAAGCUCAGUGUAUUUGUUAGUCUAAGUGUUUUACUUAUUAACAGUUUAGCAUAGAAAAUGCUAAAGAUUUCAAAGUGAUAACAGGGUUCUUAGUUGUCAAAUUAGAAGAAAAUUCUGUGAACUAGUGUGUUGCAUGUUCCCAGUGAUUUAAAGUACUCAGGUACUAUUGAAACAGAUCCCUAACUCCUCACCUGUCAUAUUAGAGAAUGACUUAGAAAAAACAUAA